This 465-nucleotide ribosomal RNA is filed under the name uncultured bacterium. Its description in RNAcentral is "partial 16S ribosomal RNA". It matches the Rfam family "Bacterial small subunit ribosomal RNA", at positions 338 to 795 of the family's 1533-position model. The record is from RNAcentral.
CCUACGGGAGACAGCAGUGGGGAAUUUUGCGCAAUGCUCGUAAGAGUGACGCAGCGACGCCGCGUGAAUGACGAAGGCCUUCGGGUCGUAAAGUUCUUUCGACAGGGAAGAAAAUGCCUAUAAGUAACUGUGUAUGUAUUGACGGUACCUGUAUAAGCAGCCCCGGCUAACUCCGUGCCAGCAGCCGCGGUAAUACGGAGGGGGCGAGCGCUGUUCGGAGGGACUGGGCGUAAAGAGCACGUAGGCGGUGUUGUAAGUCAUUAGUCAAAGACUAGAGCUCAACUUUAGUAAGGCUAGUGAUACUAUAAUACUAGAGUAUCAGAGAGGAUUGCAGAAUUCCUGGUGUAGCGGUGAAAUGCGUAGAUAUCAGGAGGAAUACCGUUAGCGAAGGCGGCAAUCUGGCUGGAAACUGACGCUGAGGUGCGAAAGCGUGGGUAGCAAACAGGAUUAGAUACCCCGGUAGUC